Myotis davidii is the source of this 3670-nucleotide RNA transcript. It is a transcript of the gene named lysosomal associated membrane protein 2, with no coding region annotated. The record is from RefSeq and is a predicted model, not a curated record. Lineage: Eukaryota; Metazoa; Chordata; Mammalia; Chiroptera; Vespertilionidae. The transcript has 10 exons.
ACCGGCGCUGAAGCUCUCAGUCCCGGCUUUUAGCGCUGUGGUCGGUGGGCAGCAACUGUCUUCCUCCGCUUCCCCGAGCCUUUUCCGUGGUGGUGCUGCUCUCGUCGCUGCCUGCUCUUCCGGAUCAUGGUGUGCUUCCGCCUCUCUCCGGUGCCGGGCUCCGGGCUCGUUGUGCUCUGCCUCAUUCUGGGAGCUAUCUCAUCUUAUGCAUUAGAACUUAAUUUGAAGAAUUCAAAAAAUGCCACUUGCCUUUAUGCAAAAUGGCGGAUGAAUUUCACUAUAGACUAUGAGACUACAAGCAAAAGUAAUAAAACUGUAACCAUUUCAGACCUUGGCAAUGCAACAUACAAUGGAAGUAUCUGUGGUGAUGACCAGAAUGGUCCCAAAAUUGAGGUUCAAUUUGGAUCUGUUUUUUCCUGGACUGUGAAUUUUACAAAGGAGAAGUCUACUUAUUUAAUUGAAAGUAUCUCAUUUUCCUAUGACACUAAUGAUAGCACAACAUUUCCUGAUGCUAAAAAGAAAGGAAUUUUUACUGUUCAUGAACCUGUGGCAUUCAGAAUUCCAUUGAAUGACAUCUUUAGAUGCAAUAGUAUGUUGACUGCAGAAAAGAAAGAUGUUAUCCAGCACUAUUGGGAUGUUCAUGUACAAGCUUUUGUCCAAAAUGGCACAGUGAGCACAAAAGAGUUUCUGUGUGAUAAAGAUAAAACUUCAACCACUGUUGUGCCUGUUACUCCCACCACUUUACCAUCUCCUACUACAACACCUGCUCAAAAGGAAAAACCAGAGAUUGGAUCCUAUUCAGUUAAUAAUACCAAUGGUACUUGUCUUCUGGCUACCAUGGGGCUGCAGUUGAACAUGACUCAAGAUAAGGUUGUUACAGUUAUUAACAUCAAACCCAAUACAACUGACUUCACUGGCAGCUGCCAUUCUCAAACUGCUCUACUUAGGCUGAACAGCAGCAACAUUAAGUAUCUUGACUUUGUCUUUGCUGUGAAAAAUGAAAACCGAUUCUAUCUGAAGGAAGUGAAUGUCAGCAUGUAUUUGGUUAAUGGCUCUGUUUUCAGCAUUGCAAAUAACAAUCUCAGCUACUGGGAUGCCCCCCUGGGAAGUUCUUAUAUGUGCAACAAAGAGCAGACGGUUUCAGUGUCUGGAGCAUUUCAGAUAAAUACCUUUUAUCUAAGGGUUCAGCCUUUCAAUGUGAUAGAAGGAAAGUAUUCUACAGCCCAGGAGUGUUCGCUGGAUGAUGACACCAUUCUAAUACCAAUUAUAGUUGGUGCUGGUCUUUCAGGCUUGAUUAUCGUUAUAGUGAUUGCUUACCUAAUUGGCAGAAGAAAAAGUUAUGCUGGAUAUCAGACUCUGUAACACUAAUGCAUAUGUGAUCUCUGUUCCAAAGUAAUAAAGCAAGUACAAGUUCCAACAUGCAAUACUAUUCAAUUUAAGAUAUAUUUACUUUUAGUUCUGAUCUUAGAACCAGUGGUAUGGGGGAUUUUGUACUUAAAUAAAUACAAACACCCCAAAACUAUUAACUACAAAUUGGUCAUGUGAAUUUGGUUUUCCUAACCAAGGCAUUUAAAUCUGUUGUUUCUUCAGCCAAAGGCAUGUGCAAAAUCACCUGGAUUAUAGGUUCUAUUUUAUUUGCUUGAAUUAGUGUUUCAGUGUUUCUACUGUAGUCAUUCUGACUAGAAAUAUACAGUUUAGGAAAAACAGGUUUUUAAAAGAGAUUUGUUUUCUUGCAUGUGGUUGAAUUGAGACAGUACAUUCUACAGUGGAUUUGUACUUGCUCCCUUUGCAUUUUUUUCUGUGAUUUUGCAGGUUAACUUAGCUGCUUUGACAUUGCUAUAUAUUUGACCUAAUAGAGAUAUGGCAAUAGAUGUGAACAGUCUAAUAUUAUGUUCUUAGCAAUGACUGCUUUCCUAAUGCUUUUUGAAUACAUUUGUAUUUAAUGUGGCUGUAAUGACAAAAGAUGCAAAGCUUUUGAAAUUUUAGAAUAGGUGUUAAGCUUAUUGUUUAAUCCCUUCUAAAAAAAAAACCUGGAUAUUUCAAUCUUUUAAAUUGCAAGAUACAAGACUAUUCCAGCUGAGCAUUUCAAUUUUCUAGGUGCUUUAGAGAUAAUUGCUAGGCAGUGCCAAUUUCAGGCCUUAGUCAUUUUACCUGUAAAUUGGUCUCUACCUGCAGAGCUAAAGUUAAUGUACACUUCCAGUGUCCUUGGUGGUAGUAGUAUCUUUUAUUCCUUUUUUAUCUUUUCUUUUCCUUAAAGAAGAAAUGCCAGUAUUUCCUAGAACCUAGAAAAGAAGGGCACUUAUACCUAUAAAGUAACUUGCACAUAACCCAAAAGUUUCGGUCUUCUCCAUUAAAAUGUUUGGGGUUUUUUGUUUUGUUUUUAAGAGUUGUUCUUUGUUUCCAGCUUAAAGUGAUUGCUACAACAUUUACCAAUUUGGCUUUCCUAUUUAAAUGGUUAUAUGCUAAUCAAAACUUACAUUAUUGUUGUUCAUUAUGGUAGAAUCAUUAUUAAUUCAUGUAUUUUGUGUUCGGUUUUUGUCCUCUGGGGAGAUGCACCAGUUGUCCAUCUACCGUGAACCAUCUAAUGUUGAUAUGAGAAAGCAAAACAUUUCAGCUUCAUAGUUAACAUAUCAAGUAUUUCUUACUGUUUCUAGGUGUUUUUUAUUGGAACGGCUGAGCAAAUAUUUAGAAAUUGUUAAUAUGCAGCCAUAUACCAAAGGUGCCUGAGUUUUGUUUUUUUUUUGGGGGGGGGGUGUUAGGAGAUUGUAUACCCCCAUUCACUACAAAAUGAGAUAUCUGGGUUCCAAAGUAUUAUUGAUGUUGAAUUAAUUUGGUAGUCUAACUAAAAACACACACACAAGCAAUUGCCUGUAAGCAUAUAUAUAUAUGUCUAUAACUAUCUUUCGAGUUAUAUUGGAGUGCUGAAUAUUUUUUCCCACUUAAAUUUGUUCUCUGUUUAGAGUAGCCUGAAAUUCUUACUGGCUCAGAAUCAGAUUCCUGAUCAACCCCUCUCUUAAAGCUACAAUGAGCUGCAUUGCCAGCUUAAGGCACUUAUAAAAGACAAAAGACAAAAAUAUAAAUCUGAUUUUUAAAGAUUAUUUUUUAUUUAAAUAGUAUGUUAGUGUAAGAUUAUUGAACUUAAAACAAUGGAUAAUGCUUAUAAGAACGUAGGUCUUAGAUAUUUCUCACAAGUCAAAACAAAGCAGCUUUAAAAAAAGAGAGAGAUUAAAGCAUAAGUGGUGGCACUGGCUUAAUGCUGUUAAUGUUUCUAAAAGUUUCUACAUUAAAUUAUAUAUCUGAUUCAUAUGAAAAUAUCUCUAACACUGUUUUCUAGAAAAUCUGACUUCAUUGAAUAUUUUUGUAUCUUACGUGGGCCAGUUUAUAUACAGUUGGUUAUUUCCUACAGCCACAUGCUCUUUGUACCUUUUGUAGUUUCAUUUGCUUUACUGGGUUUACACCUUGAUGGUCUAACACUCUAUGGUUCUGAGUGUUUUUCAUGUGUUAGCAUUUAUAUAAAGAAACUGGUCCAUGUAAAUACUUCUCAUGUUUUUCUUUCAAAUGUUUAAGCCACUAGUUGAUGUAUGGUAUUUCUCUAGAUAUUUGCUUGUCCAUUUGCUCCACAUAUUGCUUCUAAAACAAACAAUAAAGGUUAUUUUAUUUCUUAAGGAAA